Molecule: ribosomal RNA, 847 nt
Filed under: uncultured haloarchaeon
Lineage: Archaea; Methanobacteriati; Methanobacteriota; Halobacteria; Halobacteriales; Halobacteriaceae
Description: bacterial SSU rRNA
Rfam family: Archaeal small subunit ribosomal RNA
Source: RNAcentral
CCUAAAGGGGCCGUAGCUGGCCAGGCAAGUCUAUCGGGAAAUCUGCGCGCUUAACGCGCAGGCGUCCGGUGGAAACUGCAUGGCUUGGGACCGGAAGACCAGAGGGGUACGUCCGGGGUAGGAGUGAAAUCCCGUAAUCCUGGACGGACCACCGGUGGCGAAAGCGCCUCUGGAAGACGGAUCCGACGGUGAGGGACGAAAGCUAGGGUCUCGAACCGGAUUAGAUACCCGGGUAGUCCUAGCCGUAAACGAUGCUCGCUAGGUGUGGCGCAGGCUACGAGCCUGCGCUGUGCCGUAGGGAAGCCGUGAAGCGAGCCGCCUGGGAAGUACGUCCGCAAGGAUGAAACUUAAAGGAAUUGGCGGGGGAGCACUACAACCGGAGGAGCCUGCGGUUUAAUUGGACUCAACGCCGGACAUCUCACCAGCUCCGACAGCAGUGAUGACGAUCAGGUUGAUGACCUUAUUCGACGCUGCUGAGAGGAGGUGCAUGGCCGCCGUCAGCUCGUACCGUGAGGCGUCCUGUUAAGUCAGGCAACGAGCGAGACCCGCACCUCUAGUUGCCAGCAGCAUCUCGCGAUGGCUGGGUACACUAGGGGGACUGCCGCUGCCAAAGCGGAGGAAGGAACGGGCAACGGUAGGUCAGUAUGCCCCGAAUGAGCUGGGCAACACGCGGGCUACAAUGGCCGGGACAAUGGGACGCCACCCCGAGAGGGGGCGCUAAUCUCCUAAACCUGGUCGUAGUUCGGAUUGCGGGCUGAAACUCGCCCGCAUGAAGCUGGAUUCGGUAGUAAUCGCGUGUCAGAAGCGCGCGGUGAAUACGUCCCUGCUCCUUGUACCCACCGCCCGU